CGGAGGAAAAGAAACCAACAGGGAUUGCCUCAGUAACGGCGAGUGAAGCGGCAAAAGCUCAAAUUUGAAAUCCCCCGGGAAUUGUAAUUUGAAGGACCUAUUAAAACCCUGAGAGAGCCCAAAGUCCAUUGGAAAAUGGCGCCAUAGAAGGUGAUAGCCCUGUGUGGACCUCUCUCAGCAUACUUUUUAGGCCCAAAGAGUCGAGUUGUUUGGGAAUGCAGCUCUAAGUGGGUGGUAAAUUCCAUCUAAAGCUAAAUAUUGGCGAGAGACCGAUAGCGAACAAGUACAGUGAUGGAAAGAUGAAAAGCACUUUGAAAAGAGAGUGAAAAAGUACGUGAAAUUGUUGAAAGGGAAGGGCUUGCAAGCAGACACAACCUCGGUUGGGCCAGCAUCGGGGCGGGGGGAAACAAAAAAGGUGUGGAAUGUGGCUCUUACGAGUGUUAUAGCCCCACCCAAUAUUUCCAUCCCAUCCCGAGGCCUGCGAUUCUUCAAGGAUGCUGGCGUAAUGGUUGCAAGUCGCCCGUCUUGAAACAACGGACC
RNAcentral lists this ribosomal RNA (540 nucleotides) under Metschnikowia reukaufii. RNAcentral describes it as "eukaryotic LSU rRNA". It matches the Rfam family "Eukaryotic large subunit ribosomal RNA", at positions 51 to 667 of the family's 3401-position model. The record is from RNAcentral. Lineage: Eukaryota; Fungi; Ascomycota; Pichiomycetes; Serinales; Metschnikowiaceae.